This 435-nucleotide ribosomal RNA is filed under the name uncultured bacterium. RNAcentral describes it as "partial 16S ribosomal RNA". It matches the Rfam family "Bacterial small subunit ribosomal RNA", at positions 29 to 507 of the family's 1533-position model. The record is from RNAcentral.
AGCGAACGCUGGCGGCAGGCUUAACACAUGCAAGUCGAACGGGCAUCUUCGGAUGUCAGUGGCAGCCGGGUGAGUAACACGUGGGAACGUACCCUUCGGUUCGGUAUAAAUCAGGGUAACUUGAGUUAAUACCGGAUACGCCAUUUUGGGGAAAGGUUUACGGCAGCAGGGUUGGCCCGCGUCUGACUAGCUUGUUGGGGGGGUAACGGCCUACCCAGGCGACGUUCAGUAGCUGGUCUGAGAGGGUGAUCGGCCACACUGGAACUGAGACACGGCCCAGACUCCUACGGGAGGCAGCAGUAUAGAAUAUUGGACAAUGAGCGCAAGCCUGAUCCAGCCAUGCCGCGUGAGUGAUGAAGGCCUUAGGGUUGUAAAGCUCUUUUGUCCGGGACGAUAAUGACGGUACCUGAAGAAUAAGCCCCGGCUAACUUCGUG